AAUGAACGCUGGCGGCGUGCCUAAUACAUGCAAGUCGAGCGAACGCACAAGGAGCUUGCUCCUCUGCCGUUAGCGGCUGACGGGUGAGUAACACGUAGAUCACCUACCUAUAAGACUUGGAUAACUUCGGGAAACCGGAGCUAAUACUGUAUAAUAUAUUGUACCGCAUGAUUCAAUAGUGAAAGGCGCUUUUUGUGUCACUUAUAGAUGGUUCCGCGUCGCAUUAGCUAGUUGGUAAGGUAACGGCUUACCAAGGCAACGAUGCGUAGCCGACCUGAGAGGGUGAUCGGCCACACUGGAACUGAGACACGGUCCAGACUCCUACGGGAGGCAGCAGUGGGGAAUAUUCCACAAUGGGCGAAAGCCUGACGGAGCCAAGCCGCGUGAGUGAUGAAGGUCUUCGGAUCGUAAAACUCUGUUAUUAGGGAAGAACAAAAGUGUAAUUAAAUAGGCACGUCUUGACGGUACCUAAUGAGUAAGCCACGGCUAACUACGUG
This 497-nucleotide ribosomal RNA is filed under the name uncultured bacterium. RNAcentral's name for it is "partial 16S ribosomal RNA". It matches the Rfam family "Bacterial small subunit ribosomal RNA", at positions 29 to 507 of the family's 1533-position model. The record is from RNAcentral.